RNAcentral lists this ribosomal RNA (253 nucleotides) under uncultured bacterium. RNAcentral's name for it is "partial 16S ribosomal RNA". It matches the Rfam family "Bacterial small subunit ribosomal RNA", at positions 524 to 776 of the family's 1533-position model. The record is from RNAcentral.
UACGGGGGGGGCAAGCGUUGUUCGGAAUUACUGGGCGUAAAGGGCUCGUAGGCGGCCAACUAAGUCAGACGUGAAAUCCCUCGGCUUAGCCGGGGAACUGCAUCUGAUACUGGAUGGCUUGAGAUUGGGAGAGGGAUGCGGAAUUCCAGGUGUAGCGGUGAAAUGCGUAGAUAUCUGGAGGAACACCGGUGGCGAAGGCGGCAUCCUGGACCAACACUGACGCUGAGGAGCGAAAGCCAGGGGAGCAAACGGG